UACGUAGGGGGCAAGCGUUGUCCGGAUUUAUUGGGCGUAAAGAGCGUGUAGGCGGCCAGAUAGGUCCGUUGUGAAAACUCGAGGCUCAACCUCGAGACGCCGAUGGAAACCAUUUGGCUAGAGUCCGGAAGAGGAGAGUGGAAUUCCUGGUGUAGCGGUGAAAUGCGCAGAUAUCAGGAGGAACACCGAUGGCGAAGGCAGGUCUCUGGGCAUUAACUGACGCUGAGGAGCGAAAGCAUGGGGAGCGAACAGG
This 253-nucleotide ribosomal RNA is filed under the name uncultured bacterium. RNAcentral's name for it is "partial 16S ribosomal RNA". It matches the Rfam family "Bacterial small subunit ribosomal RNA", at positions 524 to 776 of the family's 1533-position model. The record is from RNAcentral.